UACAGAGGUGGCAAGCGUUGUUCGGAAUUACUGGGCGUAAAGCGCGUGUAGGCGGCUCUUCAAGUCAGGCGUGAAAGCCCUGGGCUCAACCGAGGAAGUGCAUCGGAAACUAUUUGACUAGAAGACGGUAGAGGAAGGUGGAAUUCCAAGUGUAGAGGUGAAAUUCGUAGAUAUUUGGAGGAAUACCGGUGGCGAAGGCGGCCUUCUGGGCCGAUCUUGACGCUGAGACGCGAAAGCGUGGGGAGCAAACAGG
This 253-nucleotide ribosomal RNA is filed under the name uncultured bacterium. Its description in RNAcentral is "partial 16S ribosomal RNA". It matches the Rfam family "Bacterial small subunit ribosomal RNA", at positions 524 to 776 of the family's 1533-position model. The record is from RNAcentral.